This 76-nucleotide transfer RNA is filed under the name Clostridium ljungdahlii. RNAcentral describes it as "tRNA-Thr". It matches the Rfam family "tRNA". Rfam says of the family: Transfer RNA (tRNA) molecules are approximately 80 nucleotides in length. Their secondary structure includes four short double-helical elements and three loops (D, anti-codon, and T loops). Further hydrogen bonds mediate the characteristic L-shaped molecular structure. tRNAs have two regions of fundamental functional importance: the anti-codon, which is responsible for specific mRNA codon recognition, and the 3' end, to which the tRNAs corresponding amino acid is attached (by aminoacyl-tRNA synthetases). tRNAs cope with the degeneracy of the genetic code in two manners: having more than one tRNA (with a specific anti-codon) for a particular amino acid; and 'wobble' base-pairing, i.e. permitting non-standard base-pairing at the 3rd anti-codon position. RNAcentral also lists the same sequence under 7 other names. Lineage: Bacteria; Bacillati; Bacillota; Clostridia; Eubacteriales; Clostridiaceae. The record is from RNAcentral.
GCUCCUAUGGCUCAGAUGGUAGAGCAACUGAUUCGUAAUCAGUAGGUCACAGGUUCGAAUCCUGCUAGGAGCACCA